Molecule: ribosomal RNA, 720 nt
Filed under: Actinomycetales bacteriuum LCK-2009.34
Lineage: Bacteria; Bacillati; Actinomycetota; Actinomycetes; Actinomycetales
Description: bacterial SSU rRNA
Rfam family: Bacterial small subunit ribosomal RNA
Source: RNAcentral
AAGUCGAGCGAGGCCCUUCCUUCGGGAAGGUGCCCUAGCGGCGAACGGGUGAGUAACACGUGGGCAACCUGCCCCUAGCACUGGGAUAACUCCGGGAAACCGGGGCUAAUACCGGAUAUGACCUCAGAAGGCAUCUUCAGAGGUGGAAAAAUUUAUUGGCUAGGGAUGGGCCCGCGGCCUAUCAGCUUGUUGGUGAGGUAACGGCCCACCAAGGCUUCGACGGGUAGCCGGCCUGAGAGGGCGACCGGCCACACUGGGACUGAGACACGGCCCAGACUCCUACGGGAGGCAGCAGUGGGGAAUAUUGCACAAUGGGCGAAAGCCUGAUGCAGCGACGCCGCGUGAGGGAUGACUGCCUUCGGGUUGUAAACCUCUUUCAGCAGGGACGAAGCGAAAGUGACGGUACCUGCAGAAGAAGCACCGGCCAACUACGUGCCAGCAGCCGCGGUAAUACGUAGGGUGCAAGCGUUGUCCGGAAUUAUUGGGCGUAAAGAGCUCGUAGGCGGUCUGUUACGUCGGCUGUGAAAACCUAGGGCUCAACCCUGGGCCUGCAGCCGAUACGGGCAGACUAGAAUUCGGUAGGGGAGACUGGAAUUCCUGGUGUAGCGGUGAAAUGCGCAGAUAUCAGGAGGAACACCGGUGGCGAAGGCGGGUCUCUGGGCCGAUAUUGACGCUGAGGAGCGAAAGCGUGGGGGAGCGAACAGGAUUAGAUACCCUGGU